This is a small nucleolar RNA of Macadamia integrifolia, 82 nucleotides long. NCBI's taxonomy places the organism in Eukaryota, Viridiplantae, Streptophyta, Magnoliopsida, Proteales, Proteaceae. The record is from RefSeq and is a predicted model, not a curated record.
UUUCAAUGAUGUCAAUAAUUGAUGACGAGUCUGAUAAUCCAUUCAUAACCAUGAUGUGAUUUGAGGCAUUUGUCUGAGAGAG